AACGAACGCUGGCGGCGUGGAUAAGACAUGCAAGUCGAACGGGACAGACCGAGUAGCAAUAUUUGGAAUGUUCAGUGGCGAACGGGUGCGUAACACGUGGAUAACAUUCCGGAAAGCGGGGAAUAGCCCAGGGAAACUUGGAUUAAUACCGCAUGUGGCCGCAAGGCUAAAGACGGGGACCGCAAGGCCUGUCACUUUCCGAUUGGUCCGCGGCCUAUCAGCUAGUUGGCGGGGUAAUGGCCCACCAAGGCUACGACGGGUAGCUGGUCUUAGAGGACGACCAGCCACACUGGAACUGAGACACGGUCCAGACACCUACGGGUGGCAGCAGUCGAGAAGCUUUCACAAUGGGGGCAACCCUAAUGGAGCGACGCCGCGUGGAGGAUAAGGUCUUCGGAUUGUAAACUCCUGUCAUGCGAGAACAAGGUACUCAGGCUAAUAACCUGAUUGUUUGAUGGUACCGCAAGAGAAAGAGACGGCUAACUCUGUGCCAGCCGCCGCCGUAA
Molecule: ribosomal RNA, 506 nt
Filed under: uncultured bacterium
Lineage: Bacteria
Description: partial 16S ribosomal RNA
Rfam family: Bacterial small subunit ribosomal RNA
Source: RNAcentral